Long non-coding RNA from Callithrix jacchus (white-tufted-ear marmoset), 557 nucleotides. RefSeq lists it as uncharacterized. The record is from RefSeq and is a predicted model, not a curated record. NCBI's taxonomy places the organism in Eukaryota, Metazoa, Chordata, Mammalia, Primates, Cebidae.
CCCUUCUGAGUUCUUAAUUGGAAUGCACCCCUGUAACAAAGGAGAUUAACAAGGGGAAAACAAACAUCACUUUAGUAAUAUGUGUACCUUCCUGUCUCAACAAAAGAAAUUUAAGCCCCUCUGAAUUCAGUCUUAACUAUUAUCAUCUGCUGAAACAAAGAAAGAACUGUGUUGGGACUACUUCUGGGGAGGUAACUGGGAAAAGCAUGAUAAACAAGGGAGGAGGAAGAGAAACAAAAAGCGGAAGAGGAAGAAAAGAAAACUGUAAGAGGAUCUUGUGUUAACCUAGGAGUUAUCUAGCGCUUUCUGGAAUCCGCGCAGUCAGUAGGAGCCAGCAAUCUCCCACAGGACGUUUUCUAAAGUUUAAGUUACUAUGUCAAAGCAGCAUCAUGAAACCUGCAGCCAGAGAGCCGAAGGUCGGCUUUGCCACCCUUUCAACCACCUCAAGUUUUUCCUGCCAGUGUGAGAAAGAAGGCCCAAAGAGAAGGUCCUCCUAGAAAGCAGAAAGCUUUCCCCCUACCUUCCACCAUGCCCACUGUCACAAGGAUUUGCUGGGG